This 1300-nucleotide long non-coding RNA is filed under the name Capsicum annuum. RNAcentral's name for it is "long non-coding RNA (CANN_LNC013928)". Lineage: Eukaryota; Viridiplantae; Streptophyta; Magnoliopsida; Solanales; Solanaceae. The record is from RNAcentral.
UUUCACAACUCAAAAUAAAGGAGGCCUGAUUUGUAUGUACACCUAAAGGACGUCAGACACUAGUGUGAGUUUUUGAUAGAUGGGAUGGAUAAGGAGUCUCUAGUGUUUUAGACACGAUGUCAGAACAUGGGUUAAGGAAAUAUGGUGCAUGUGACAUAAACGUGCAAUAAGAUUUGAGUGAGAAAGUUCUUUGUUACCUCUCUAAAGUUAUUAGAAUAAGGUGAACCCCUAUAGCCCAAAUAGAUGUGAAUACGAGGGAACAGAUUAUGGUAGAGUGGAGCUUCUUCUUUUCCCUUCGAAAGAACCUUUACUUCCUUUCUUUAUUACUAAGCUAUGCUAGAAGGCUAAGGUACCUAUGGAGAUGGAGGAUGCAUUGACCGAGUUUGAUGCUCCCUUCAAUCGAUUGAUAGUGCAGAGUGCUAAAGGGAGGAGUAAAACAAAGAGGAAUAUGAGUGUCAAUAGGGAGAGCAAUGGGUAUUAGGAGGGUGGAGGAUUGGGGACUAUCCUCUUACGUCCACCGAGGCCCUUCAGGUGAUUAAAGAAUGAUUUAGUGACUAUAAAAUAUAUGAUUUCUAGGAUGCCCAUCCUUCCCUGAGAUCCUACUUCUUCUAGUAUGUAGGCCUCUCAAAUAUCCAAAGUGCUUACUCUAUCUUGGCUCAGGCAUAUGUAGAGAUUCAAAAGGAAAUAGAGGUAGAGAAAGAAGGGGCACACUCAAGAUUAGUUGCUGGUACACAAAUGGAAAGGAAUGAAGGUUAUCAUAAAUUUUGUUUCCUCGGGGUAGAAGCUCCCCAAGGCGAGGAAUACCGAUGCUCAAGGGUUGUCCUUUCCUGAGUGGGAUAUAUGAUAAAGGUUCAGCUGUACCCAUCCUUACAUAUUAAGUGUCCAAUUUGGCCUAUCUUGGUAAUCCCGCCCCUCUCUUAUGUUUUUAGAUUGUUGUAUUUUUGGCCCUAUGUAGGCAUGUUUAAGAUAUCUCAUUACUUUUUGUACUCAAUAUUUAUUACUUAUUUUUCAUUCUUUGGUGUCGUUAGUGUCAUCUUUGGAUGAUAAUUUUGUUUGUAGUCCCAUAGUAUAGAAAUAUUGUAUUAGCAUCUGGAUUUUUCCUUUAAAUUGUGUUUUUUUGUAAAAUAUAGUUCUUCUAAAAAUUGGGCUCGAGCUUUCAGCUUGUGACUGCUGUAAUAGUACCUCAUAUGCUGCAGCAGUCUUGCUAAAACAACCUAUGGCCUGCUACAGCAACCUCAACCAGCCUACUAAUGUAGUAUGUCACCAACUGCAGUGUAACGCCCCAAGAACCCAUCCCGAG